RNAcentral lists this ribosomal RNA (386 nucleotides) under marine Metazoa environmental sample. RNAcentral describes it as "SSU rRNA". It matches the Rfam family "Eukaryotic small subunit ribosomal RNA", at positions 587 to 972 of the family's 1831-position model. The record is from RNAcentral. Lineage: Eukaryota; Metazoa.
AGCUCCAAUAGCGUAUAUUAAAGUUGCUGCAGUUAAAAAGCUCGUAGUUGGAUCUCGGGGUACCUGGUCUAGCCGGUAUAGCUCACGCUAAAACUGGUCUGACCCCCCAACGUGAGGUAUUCGUCUCCGGGUGCACUUCAUUGGGUGCUCGUGAGGGGCCUCGUAGUUACUGUGAAAAAAUUAGAGUGUUCAAAGCAGGCUCAUAUGUUCGGAUAGUCGUGCAUGGAAUAACUUAAUACGGGACCGGCGCCUUUCAGGUGGGUUCGGCCACCGGUCAAAAGAUUAAGAGGGACUUCCGGGGGCAUUGGUAUGGCGGGGUUAGAGGUGAAAUUCUUGGAUCCUCGCCAGACCAACAAAAGCGAAAGCAUUUGCCAAGAAUGUCUUCA